This is a non-coding RNA of Eptesicus fuscus (big brown bat), 78 nucleotides long. The record is from Rfam. Lineage: Eukaryota; Metazoa; Chordata; Mammalia; Chiroptera; Vespertilionidae.
AGGGGGUGGUUGGCGGUAUCACUGGUACUGAAGUAAUGCCUGUCCACAGUAGCAGACAUGCCGCCCUCCUCCCCAUAC